AAUGCUUGCUUUGAGAUUGAUGAUAGGAAAUUCGUAUUGCUUUAAUAGCCGUGCGGAGCGGGGAUGACAUCGCGAAAGAAGAUGGAUCGUUCUUUCGCGCCAAAGAUACGACCCGAACCCCCAAGGAGGCUUCACUUAAUUGACCGUGCCAUGUGACACACUACGCGGUGCUCUAUAUCUGUCGUGCUGCACAUGGUGGGGCCCGCUAAAGCACCCA
RNAcentral lists this long non-coding RNA (217 nucleotides) under Elaeis guineensis (African oil palm). RNAcentral's name for it is "long non-coding RNA (EGUI_LNC000433)". Lineage: Eukaryota; Viridiplantae; Streptophyta; Magnoliopsida; Arecales; Arecaceae. The record is from RNAcentral.